AUCGUUAACUGAAUCCAUAGGUUAACGAAGGGAACCCGGUGAACUGAAACAUCUAAGUAGCCGGAGGAAGAGAAAACAAAAGUGAUUCCGUAAGUAGCGGCGAGCGAACGCGGAAGAGCCCAAACCUAGGAGCUUGCUCUUAGGGGUUCGGACUGUAUAAUCGAUGGAGACUGUUAGUAGAAUCUGAAUGGAAAGUCAGAGCCAAAGAGCGUGAAAGUCGCGUAUACGAAAACGGUCGAAGCGAGACAGUAUCCAGAGUAGGACGAGACACGUGAAACCUUGUCUGAACAUGCGGGGACCACCCCGUAAGGCUAAAUACUACUUAGUGACCGAUAGCGAAUAGUACCGUGAGGGAAAGGUGAAAAGGACCCCGGGAGGGGAGUGAAAGAGAACCUGAAACCCUGUGCCUGCAAGCUGCGAAAGCUCCAUAUGAGAGUGAUCGCGUACUUUUUGUAGAACGGUCCGGCGAGUUAUGUUUGUUGGCGAGGUUAAGCACUUAAGGUGAAUAGCCGAAGGGAGACCAAGUCUGAAUAGGGCGAGUAGUCGUCAAACAUAGACCCGAAACCGGGUGAUCUAUCCAUGGACAGGAUGAAGCGGCCGUAAAAGGCUGUGGAGGUCCGAACACACAUCCGUUGAAAAGGGUGGUGAUGAGCUGUGGAUAGGGGAGAAAUUCCAAUCGAACUCGGAGAUAGCUGGUUCUCCCCGAAAUAGCUUUAGGGCUAGCCCUGUAGCAUUCCUCUUGGAGGUAGAGCACUGAAUAUCCGCGGGGGCUUCACCGCUUACCAAAGAUUAUCAAACUCCGAAUGCCAAUGAGGAUGAGCGCAGGAGUCAGACUACACGAGAUAAGUUGGGUAGUCAAAAGGGAAAGAGCCCAGAUCUACGGCUAAGGUCCCAAAGUACGUGUUAAGUGGAAAAGGAUGUGGGAUUUCAUAGACAGCUAGGAUGUUGGCUCAGAAGCAGCCACACAUUCAAAGAGUGCGUAAUAGCUCACUAGCCGAGAGGUCCUGCGCCGAAAAUUACCGGGGCUGAAACACGACACCGAAGCCU
Molecule: ribosomal RNA, 1047 nt
Filed under: Butyrivibrio sp. INlla18
Lineage: Bacteria; Bacillati; Bacillota; Clostridia; Lachnospirales; Lachnospiraceae
Description: bacterial LSU rRNA
Rfam family: Bacterial large subunit ribosomal RNA
Source: RNAcentral